AUUUUUAGUAACAAACACUUCAUAAUCAUAAGUAUCAAAGUAUUACAGAAUACAGAGGCAUGAAUACAAAAGAGCAUCUUUCAUUUGAUUUAUAUGUAAGUUCAGUAAAGAGCAAUUUGGCUGAAUUAACCCUCAUUCCGACUUGGUACAUAAAAAUACAUACCAAGGUUGUUUAAAAUUCAGAGUAUAAAAGAAUGCAAGCCUAAAAGAGGCCAAUAAUGUUUGCUUCCAUUUAAAAGUCCUUUUUUUAAUAUCUGGCAACGCAGGUAUGUCCCUAUAAGACCUAACUAGAUAAAACCAAGAGUUUAUUUUUAUCAAUAAAUUAUUCUGUCCCACUCAACUCAUUCUUCUUUCUUCUCUCCAUGCUAGAGACUCAAAGUACCCUGUUUCAGACUGAUGGAAAGAGUCCUAAUCUUAGCAGAAUUACCUUCCCAGAAUUUGACAUCUGCCUGGUUCUUGUCUAGUUCUAAUAAUGGCUACAGGCUGCAUGCAAGUCGCAGAAGAAUAUGAAACUCAAGCUGAAAAUAAGCUAGUAACUA
This 539-nucleotide long non-coding RNA is filed under the name Bos taurus (domestic cattle). Its description in RNAcentral is "long non-coding RNA NONBTAT011796". The record is from RNAcentral. Lineage: Eukaryota; Metazoa; Chordata; Mammalia; Artiodactyla; Bovidae.